Long non-coding RNA from Eubalaena glacialis (North Atlantic right whale), 521 nucleotides. RefSeq lists it as uncharacterized. The transcript has 4 exons. NCBI's taxonomy places the organism in Eukaryota, Metazoa, Chordata, Mammalia, Artiodactyla, Balaenidae. The record is from RefSeq and is a predicted model, not a curated record.
ACAUAAGUCAAUGCUUGUGAAGCCCACGGAACACUGCUGGAGACCUAGCAGGAUCCACUCAGGACAACAGAAACCACUCUAUGAAGAAAGAGCUGAGAAGGCAAAUAAAGCAUUGGGAGGCAGCCCUGAGGCUGUCAACAGCAGGAAGCUGUGAUCACCUGCAGACUGUUAGGAACGACAGGAAAUGGUGGUAUCCACAUCCAGGGACAAGAGUUACCUUGAAAGAAGCUGCAACCAAGGGCAGUUCCAGCCACAGUGGGGACUCGGGAGUGGAGGAGCAGCGGCUCUGUGCAGGAGGCGGUCGAUGUGCCCUUCUGGGCUGGACUAUAUCUGGGAAGGGGGCCCAGUGGAGGUGCAUAUAUGUGUGUGCACACGUGAGCACGUGCCUAGAUACAGAGGGACAUGUCUGAGCAGGUGAGAGGAUUCAGACCCCUGUUACAGAAGCAACAGCCAAAUUGCUGUCUGACCUGCAAAGAAGGUCCAGGAGGUGCUGUGUCAGGAGCUCCACGUGCACUCCCUCA